UGAUGGGAGCUUGCUCCCUGAUAUUAGCGGCGGACGGGUGAGUAACACGUGGGCAACCUGCCCUACAGAUGGGGAUAACUCCGGGAAACCGGGGCUAAUACCGAAUAAUCAGUUGGUCCGCAUGGACCGACUCUGAAAGACGGCUUCGGCUGUCACUGUAGGAUGGGCCCGCGGCGCAUUAGCUAGUUGGUGGGGUAAUGGCCUACCAAGGCGACGAUGCGUAGCCGACCUGAGAGGGUGAUCGGCCACACUGGGACUGAGACACGGCCCAGACUCCUACGGGAGGCAGCAGUAGGGAAUCUUCCACAAUGGACGAAAGUCUGAUGGAGCAAUGCCGCGUGAGCGAAGAAGGUUUUCGGA
RNAcentral lists this ribosomal RNA (360 nucleotides) under uncultured bacterium. RNAcentral describes it as "bacterial SSU rRNA". It matches the Rfam family "Bacterial small subunit ribosomal RNA", at positions 70 to 422 of the family's 1533-position model. The record is from RNAcentral.